AUUGAACGCUGGCGGCAGGCCUAACACAUGCAAGUCGAGCGGAGCGGCGGACGGGUGAGUAAUGCCUAGGAAUCUACCUGGUAGUGGGGGAUAACGUCCGGAAACGGGCGCUAAUACCGCAUACUAUCAGAUGAGCCUAGGUCGGAUUAGCUAGUUGGUGUGGUAAAGGCCUACCAAGGCGACGAUCCGUAACUGGGCUGCGAGGAUGAUCAGUCACACUGGAAAGUGGACACGGUCCAGCCGCCUACGGUCGGCAGCAGUGGGGAAUAUUGGACAAUGGGCGAAAUCCUGAUCCAGCCAUUCCGCGUGUGUGAAGAAGGUCUUCGGAUUGUAAAGCACUUUAAGUUGGGAGGCGUUACCAACAGAAUAAGCAACGGCUAACUUCGUGCCAGCAGCCGCGGUAAUAC
This 407-nucleotide ribosomal RNA is filed under the name uncultured bacterium. RNAcentral describes it as "partial 16S ribosomal RNA". It matches the Rfam family "Bacterial small subunit ribosomal RNA", at positions 30 to 526 of the family's 1533-position model. The record is from RNAcentral.